RNAcentral lists this ribosomal RNA (459 nucleotides) under uncultured bacterium. RNAcentral describes it as "partial 16S ribosomal RNA". It matches the Rfam family "Bacterial small subunit ribosomal RNA", at positions 338 to 795 of the family's 1533-position model. The record is from RNAcentral.
CCUACGGGUGGCAGCAGUGAGGAAUAUUGGUCAAUGGACGAGAGUCUGAACCAGCCAAGUCGCGUGCAGGAAGACGGCUCUAUGAGUUGUAAACUUCUUUUGUCCAGGGGCAAACGUGACCACGCGUGUUCUUCUCAAAGUAACGUAAGAAAAAGGCUCGGCUAACUCCGUGCCAGCAGCCGCGGUAAUACGGAGGAUCCAAGCGUUAUCCGGAUUUAUUGGGUUUAAAGGGUGCGUAGGCGGAAUAUCAAGUCAGCGGUAAAAAUUCGGGGCUCAACCCCGUCGUGCCGUUGAAACUGAUGUUCUUGAGUGGGCGAGAAGUAUGCGGAAUGCGUGGUGUAGCGGUGAAAUGCAUAGAUAUCACGCAGAACUCCGAUUGCGAAGGCAGCAUACCGGCGCCCAACUGACGCUGAAGCACGAAAGCGUGGGUAUCGAACAGGAUUAGAUACCCCAGUAGUC